CUUGGCUGGUGGCGCUCUUCCCUUAGGCGGGUGGAGUAAUCACGCAUAGCAAUUGUCAUUAUAUGCAGAUUUCCCAGGCCCGCUUACCCAGCGGGCUUUUUCAU
Molecule: non-coding RNA, 104 nt
Organism: Brenneria sp. EniD312
Lineage: Bacteria; Pseudomonadati; Pseudomonadota; Gammaproteobacteria; Enterobacterales; Pectobacteriaceae
Source: Rfam